RNAcentral lists this long non-coding RNA (874 nucleotides) under Dromaius novaehollandiae (emu). RNAcentral's name for it is "lncRNA (ENSDNVG00000008092.1)". Lineage: Eukaryota; Metazoa; Chordata; Aves; Casuariiformes; Dromaiidae. The record is from RNAcentral.
UGGAUAGAUGAAUGAUUUUGUUUAACAUUUGCCUAAGUUUUCUUUUUCCUUUUUUUCUUUUUUUUUUCUUUAAUUGAAGACUACAUCUAUAUCCCUCAAGAAACUCAAGGUGUGGCAGUAAUUCAUUCAUGGACAGAUGUAACCAACAGAUUUACAUGAGUGAUCAUACCGGACCAAUAUAGAACGAGAGCUGACAAGGAAAGACAUAUGGAUGUGUAUGGAUUUGUAUGAAUUUGGGUGGCAAGCAUAGCAGAAAAGGUAUCUGAAGGACACUGUAUUAAACAUUCUGGUAAGGAAUAUGACUGUAUUGAUAUUUUAAGUCGUCAUUGAAGAUUUUUUUGUCUGGUACAUAUUAUGUACCACAUGCUCCAGAUCCAAACAAAUAAAAAAUCACUGCAUGCCAAGGUUGUCCUAAGAGAGAAGUCUGGGAUCAGAUGGAGAAACAUAUUGCCAAACAACCAGUCAUCCAGCUAAACAUGAAAAGAGACUAAGAUAACUCUAAUAUCAAGGAAAUGAAAUUUCAGCCAAUGCUUAAGUUUCAUCAAAGUUAAUAGCAGGUAAGUCUGGCUGCAAAAUCAUUAACAUACAACAGCAUUAUUAAUGUUCCUAGUCAUUAAUAAGUAGGAGCAGAAGGAAUUGUUUGUGUCUUCAUAAAUUUUAUGAAGUAUUUCUGUCUUAGGUUCUAAAUUAUGUAGCCAGUAUCUUAAAAAUAUGAAGUUAUUUCCAUUCAAUUCUUUAUUUACAUUUCAUAUAUAACAGCAUCUAAGGAACAAGAGCUUCAUGAUAAAACUAGUGACUAUUUAAAAAUUCUGAAAUAGCAGAUUUUAUUGCAUUCUCUUAAAUAAAAUCUAGAAACAUAAAAUUUAAACUUUCA